Lampris incognitus (smalleye Pacific opah) is the source of this 261-nucleotide long non-coding RNA. RefSeq lists it as uncharacterized. The transcript is spliced from 3 exons. Lineage: Eukaryota; Metazoa; Chordata; Actinopteri; Lampriformes; Lampridae. The record is from RefSeq and is a predicted model, not a curated record.
CUCACGAGUCGGUGUUUCCAGAAAAAAGACCAUGGUCAAAGGGGCGGGGCCUGUCCGGGGCGCGAGGCCGAAGCUUGUUCUGAGCUGGCUCGCGGUCGUGUGCUGGACUUGUCCGGUCAUCGGCGGCGACGCAGGUGUGACGCUGCUGGUGGUUCCCGAGGUCCGGGCUCAGUGCGGGAGCAACGUGACCCUGACAUGCGACGUCCAGUCAUCGAGAGAGAUCCUUGUGCAAAAACUGGUCUGGGGGACCGACAGAUCCAA